Long non-coding RNA from Habropoda laboriosa, 770 nucleotides. RefSeq lists it as uncharacterized. NCBI's taxonomy places the organism in Eukaryota, Metazoa, Arthropoda, Insecta, Hymenoptera, Apidae. The record is from RefSeq and is a predicted model, not a curated record. The transcript has 4 exons.
CCGAUGGGUUUGCAUCGAGGGCGUGUUUGGCUGUGGCAUUCCUUUAUUUCAUCGUACUUGCAACUAUUUAAACCGCCACAUCGUUCGUUUGCUAUUAUAUAGAGCGCGAGGACUGUCCUUUGAGUGUCGUAGCAAAGUUUUUAGCGGUCAUAGAACGGUGACAAGAGACAACUGGUUAUGCCGGUCGAUGAGCCUUUGUGACUCGUGCCUUGGAGAUCCUCAUAUACAACGGUCGCCGGCAGAUGCGAGGGGUAAUAAGAUGAGAGGCAAAUUCGUUGGUUCGAUUUCUACUCGGACGUAGUUUACAUGGAUGGGGCAAACAGGAAAGGCUAAGAGAGCACUCGAAAGAAUCUCGUCUCCCUGGUUCUCGGCCUGCUUCUUCGUCGAAUCGCGUUCGUCGAUCAGGGAUUGGAUUGAUUUCGCCGUGGCCAAGCCGAUCGUUGCCGGGAGCGAGGAUGGCAAGGAGCAGUGGCACUGCAAACGCAAACCGGCGAUGCACCGAUUGCACCGUCGUCGUUCAUCGCGAUGCCGCUGUCGCAGCUCGUAGUACGUUCGCUCUCGAGUCACGAUCGAUCGGAAUCGGGUACGGUAGGAACGACCACGGCACUGCUACCUCUGGCUACACCGGCUACGCUGCCAAUUUCGAUCAGGGAGAGGGCACGGCCGAUUAGAGUCGCCCCUUUCGAUACAACUGCCGAGCGGCACGUGAGUCACAAAUCAAGAGGACGAGCGCAACUCGCAGAAUGGACAAGUGCGGGGUCUACUUGUCU